RNAcentral lists this unclassified non-coding RNA (552 nucleotides) under Hevea brasiliensis (rubber tree). Lineage: Eukaryota; Viridiplantae; Streptophyta; Magnoliopsida; Malpighiales; Euphorbiaceae. The record is from RNAcentral.
UCGAUCAUCGGCAGAACCGCCGAAUUGCCGGGCUGCUUUUCUCCUUUUCCGAUCUGGUGGAUUAUGGAGAGGCAUAGAUUGUUGACAGUGGCGAUUUUUGCUUGCCUGAUCGCUUUUUCCGUCGGAAGGGAGUUCAGAUUGAACCACAAGCACAGCGGUGAUGAUAUUUCCUUUAACCAUACUCUUGCCGAAAUCUUGGUGGAGUAUGCUUCUGCGGCAUACAUAUCUGAUUUAACGGAACUGUUUACUUGGACAUGCACAAGAUGCGAUGACCUGACUCAGGGGUUUGAAGUUAUAGAACUGGUUGUUGAUGUCCAGCACUGUCUACAGGCAUAUGUUGGAGUAGCAAAGAGUCUAAAUGCUGUCAUUAUUGCUUUUAGAGGAACUCAAGAAAACAGCGUACAGAACUGGAUUGAAGACCUAUACUGGAAGCAGCUUGACCUGAUGUACCCUGGCAUGCCAGAUGCAAUGGUGCACCAUGGGUUUUAUUAUGCCUAUCACAAUACAACAAUACGCCCUGCAAUAUUAAGUGCUGUCGAUAGAGCCAGGAAG